GUGUCAGCAGCCGCGGUAAUACGUAGGCAGCGAGCGUUGUUCGGAGUUACUGGGCGUAAAGAGUGCGUAGGCUGUGGUCCAAGUCUGGUGUGAAAUCUCCCGGCUCAACCGGGAGGGUGCGCCGGAAACUGGGCUGCUUGAGUGCCGGAGAGGCAGGCGGAAUUCCUGGUGUAGCGGUGAAAUGCGUAGAUAUCAGGAGGAACACCCGUGGUGUAGACGGCCUGCUGGACGGCAACUGACGCUGAGGCACGAAAGCGUGGGGAGCAAACAGGAUUAGAUACCCUGGUAGUCCACGCCCUAAACGAUGCAUACUUGGUGUGGGCAGUUCAGUCUGUCCGUGCCGAAGCUAACGCGAUAAGUAUGCCGCCUGGGGAGUACGGUCGCAAGGCUGAA
This 393-nucleotide ribosomal RNA is filed under the name uncultured bacterium. Its description in RNAcentral is "bacterial SSU rRNA". It matches the Rfam family "Bacterial small subunit ribosomal RNA", at positions 505 to 898 of the family's 1533-position model. The record is from RNAcentral.